Acanthosepion pharaonis is the source of this 101-nucleotide non-coding RNA. The record is from the annotation of a GenBank genome assembly. NCBI's taxonomy places the organism in Eukaryota, Metazoa, Mollusca, Cephalopoda, Sepiida, Sepiidae.
UUACGGCCAUAUUCCGCUGAAACACCGGUUCUCAUUCAACCACCGAAGUUAAGCAACGUCAGACCUGGUCAGUACCUAGAUGGGUAACCGCAUGGGAAUGC